Molecule: long non-coding RNA, 269 nt
Organism: Pecten maximus
Lineage: Eukaryota; Metazoa; Mollusca; Bivalvia; Pectinida; Pectinidae
Exons: 3
Source: RefSeq, a predicted model, not a curated record
UGCAGAAUCGAUGAAGAUAUCUUACCACAGAUCAAUUUGUUUUUAACGACGGAUUGAGAAUAUGGCGGAGGACAAAGACGAAGCAAUACAAUUGGGGCUUGAAAUGGCAGCAUCAAGAGAUGAGGUGGCUCAACUAAAAAUCCUCGAUACCGACAUCUCAAAGACACCAAUCUUAGGCACGAAGCCUAUGGCAACUUCAUCGAAAGGACCAGUUGGUAAUCUACGUCGGUACGAGACAGUAUUUCCCAAAUGGCGGUACAGACGUAUGG